GCAGCCUGCCAACUGGUGGCUGUAUUACAUUCCACAAAGGCAGCACUGGUGAUGGAUUGACGCCAGCUGGAGAGAGGCAAUCCUGAAUCAAUUAAGGUGAUAUGAUGUGUCAUUACUGAGUUGCUGUUUGGCUGCUGCCACUGACCCGAUCCAACCCCCCCCCCCUCUGGCCAGGCUGAUGAACCAGAACUCCUCAAGCCCUCACAGUCAACAUCCACAAAAAUCCAUAAUUUACUGAACAUAUCCAUAUACUACACCAGCAAAUGGCCCAACAUCUUGGCAGAGGAGAGAGGCCUAGUGAUUCAGGCAGUGGUUGUCAAAAGUCAUUAGCAUGCAAUGGGAAACAUAACCUAAUUGGGAAUAAAAGAAAAAAAAGAAGGAAUACUGGUAUGGACUUUUGUAAGGCUUGUUAUCACCACAGAGUAGUAUGUAUCUACUGCUUAGAGCUUUGCCACGAGCCAAUGAGACAUUUUACUCAUUAGUGGUGUAAGUAAUACAGUAUGUUUCUAUUUGCCAAGUCAAAUAGUCCAGAGGUAUAAUAUGCUUCGGGGAAAUGUGCAUUUUUUUUUCCACUUCACAAAGCACUAAAUUGGUCAACUGUAAGUGUGAAACAACACACUUAAUGUAAUCAUGCCCAUAUUCCUAUAGUAUGCAAUCAAAUUUGUGUUACAGGAACAUUUGUUUUCAUCAUCACUUAAAGUAAUUUCUUGAUUACUGCUUGUGAACUGGGACUACAAAAAGAAAACUCUUCCUGCACCUUCUCAUCCCUCCAUACACAUUCACACUC
Siniperca chuatsi (mandarin fish) is the source of this 787-nucleotide long non-coding RNA. RefSeq lists it as uncharacterized. NCBI's taxonomy places the organism in Eukaryota, Metazoa, Chordata, Actinopteri, Centrarchiformes, Sinipercidae. The record is from RefSeq and is a predicted model, not a curated record. The transcript has 3 exons.